Molecule: ribosomal RNA, 319 nt
Filed under: uncultured eukaryote
Lineage: Eukaryota
Description: partial 18S ribosomal RNA
Rfam family: Eukaryotic small subunit ribosomal RNA
Source: RNAcentral
CCCUUAGAUGUCCUGGGCCGCACGCGUGCUACACUGACGCCUACAGCGAGUACUUCCCAGCCCCGAGAGGUGGCUGGUAAUCAGCAAUAGGCGUCGUGAUGGGGAUAGAUCUUUGGAAUUAUGGAUCUUGAACGAGGAAUGCCUAGUAAGCGCAGGUCAUUAGCCUGCGUUGAUUAAGUCCCUGCCCUUUGUACACACCGCCCGUCGCUCCUACCGAUUUCGAGUGGUCCGGUGAAUCUUUCGGACUGCGCGCGGCUUCGUGCCGUGUCGCGGAAAGUCAGGUAAACCUUAUCACUUAGAGGAAGGAGAANUCGUANCA